GCGGGCAUGCCUAACACAUGCAAGUCGAACGAACCCUUCGGGGUUAGUGGCGCACGGGUGNGUAACGCGUGGGAAUCUGCCCUUUGCUGCGGGAUAACAGUGAGAAAUCGCUGCUAAUACCGCAUAAUGACUACGGUCCAAAGAUUUAUCGGCAAAGGAUGAGCCCGCGUAAGAUUAGCUUGUUGGUGGGGUAAAAGCCUACCAAGGNGANGAUCUUUAGCUGGUNUGAGAGGNUGAUCAGCCACACUGGGANUGAGACACGGCCCAGACUCCUACGGGAGGCAGCAGUGGGGAAUAUUGGACAAUGGGCGAAAGCCUGAUCCAGCAAUGCCGCGUGAGUGAUGAAGGCGUUAGGGU
This 357-nucleotide ribosomal RNA is filed under the name Sphingomonas sp. BAL44. RNAcentral's name for it is "bacterial SSU rRNA". It matches the Rfam family "Bacterial small subunit ribosomal RNA", at positions 39 to 423 of the family's 1533-position model. Lineage: Bacteria; Pseudomonadati; Pseudomonadota; Alphaproteobacteria; Sphingomonadales; Sphingomonadaceae. The record is from RNAcentral.